UCCAUACUGGGACAGCAUAGGCACAUCUCCUCCUAUCCCUGCGUCCACUCGGGAACUGUGAUCACCUGACCUCUGAGCUUUCUGCUUGUGGAAUGAGCAAUGCCAAUGCACAGGCAUGAUCUGUUACCUACGGGGAGUGGCGGUGUUCCCACGGCUCUCAGAGAACAACUGAACACUACUAGGGAGCAUCCUAAUCUACAUUUAGGCUGGCAGGGAUGGUGACUCCAUUGCCUCCACGGGCAGCCUUUUCAAAGCGAUAUGCCUUCAACAUUACAUCUUUCACCUUCUUUGAACUUCCUCUCUUCUCCUGGGAUGGUGUAUUCCAUGAAGUGGUUUAGGCCCAACUGCAGCUGUUGGAGGAUCGCAGCAAUAUUUCUGCCACAGGAAGACAAUUCUCAUGAUCAUCUUCAAUUAAUUUACAUCACAUAGUGAAAGAAUGUAUUUUAGCAUACCUUCUUUAUGAGUUAUCAUCUGUGACUCCUUACAGUUAAUGAAAUUAAACCAAA
Molecule: non-coding RNA, 506 nt
Organism: Meleagris gallopavo (turkey)
Lineage: Eukaryota; Metazoa; Chordata; Aves; Galliformes; Phasianidae
Source: RefSeq, a predicted model, not a curated record